Molecule: long non-coding RNA, 568 nt
Filed under: Oncorhynchus kisutch (coho salmon)
Lineage: Eukaryota; Metazoa; Chordata; Actinopteri; Salmoniformes; Salmonidae
Description: lncRNA (ENSOKIG00005032144.1)
Source: RNAcentral
GAUCAUAUGGGUUGAAGUGUUUAUUGUGGACUAGAUCAUAAGGGUUGAAGUGUUUAUUGUGGACUAGAUCAUAUGGGUUGAAGUGUGUUUAUUGUGGACUAGAUCAUAUGGGUUGAAGUGUUUAUUGUGGACUAGAUCAUAUGGGUUGAAGUGUUUAUUGUGGACUAGAUCAUAUGGGUUGAAGUGUUUAUUGUGGACUAGAUCAUAUGGGUUGAAGUGUUUAUUGUGGACUAGAUCAUAUGGGUUGAAGUGUUUAUUGUGGACUAGAUCAUAUGGGUUGAAGUGUUUAUUGUGGACUAGAUCAUAUGGGUUGAAGUGUUUAUUGUGGACUAGAUCAUAUGGGUUGAAGUGUUUAUUGUGGACUAGAUCAUAUGGGUUGAAGUGUUUAUUGUGGACUAGAUCAUAUGGGUUGAAGUGUUUAUUGUGGACUAGAUCAUAUGGGUUGAAGUGUUUAUUGUGGACUAGAUCAUAAAGGUUGAAGUGUUUAUUGUGGACUAGAUCAUAAGGGUUGAAGUGUGUUUAUUGUGGACUAGAUCAUAUGGGUCGAAGUGUGUUUAUUGUGGACUAG